GAUGAACGCUGGCGGCGUGCCUAAUACAUGCAAGUCGAGCGGAUAAAUGAGGCUCUCGCCUCUCUGACGUUAGCGGCGGGCGGGUGAGUCCUAGGUGGCUAACUGAUAUAUAAGGCUGGGGUCACUUAAGGGACGCUGAGACCAUAUCGGAUCAUAUAUUGAACCGCAUGGUUCUUUGGUGCUAGACCGUUCUGAUGACCCUUAUUCGUGGUUCCGCGCCGGAUUAGCUAGUUGGUAAGGUAACGGCUUACCAAGGCUACGAUGCGUAGCCGACCUGAGAGGGUGAUCGGCCACACUGGAACUGAGACACGGUCCAGACUCCUACGGGAGGCAGCAGUAGGGAAUCUUCCGCAAUGGGCGAAAGCCUGACGGAGCAACGCCGCGUGAGUGAUGAAGGUCUUCGGAUCGUAAAGCUCUGUUAGUAGGGAAGAACAAAUGUAAAAGUAACUAUGCACGUCUUGACGGUACCUAAACAGAAAGCCACGGCUAACUACGUG
This 497-nucleotide ribosomal RNA is filed under the name uncultured bacterium. RNAcentral's name for it is "partial 16S ribosomal RNA". It matches the Rfam family "Bacterial small subunit ribosomal RNA", at positions 28 to 507 of the family's 1533-position model. The record is from RNAcentral.